AACGAACGCUGGCGGCGUGGAUAAGACAUGCAAGUCGAACGGAAUUUAAUUUGUAGCAAUACCGAUUAAAUUUAGUGGCGAACGGGUGCGUAACACGUGAGCAAUCUGCCGGGAAGUGGGGGAUAACUCGUCGAAAGGCGAAUUAAUACCGCAUAUGGCCAGGGAGGACAUCCUUCCGAAGCCAAAGUAGCAAUACGCUUCCUGAUGAGCUCGCGGCCUAUCAGCUAGUUGGUGAGGUAAUGGCUCACCAAGGCUAUGACGGGUAGCUGGUCUGAGAGGACGACCAGCCACACUGGAACUGAGACACGGUCCAGACACCUACGGGAGGCAG
This 331-nucleotide ribosomal RNA is filed under the name uncultured Verrucomicrobiota bacterium. RNAcentral describes it as "bacterial SSU rRNA". It matches the Rfam family "Bacterial small subunit ribosomal RNA", at positions 29 to 351 of the family's 1533-position model. Lineage: Bacteria; Pseudomonadati; Verrucomicrobiota. The record is from RNAcentral.